AUUGAACGCUGGCGGCAUGCCUUACACAUGCAAGUCGAACGGUAACAGGUCUUCGGAUGCUGACGAGUGGCGAACGGGUGAGUAAUACAUCGGAACGUGCCUAGUAGUGGGGGAUAACUACUCGAAAGAGUGGCUAAUACCGCAUGAGAUCUACGGAUGAAAGCAGGGGAUCGCAAGACCUUGUGCUACUAGAGCGGCCGAUGGCAGAUUAGGUAGUUGGUGGGAUAAAAGCUUACCAAGCCGACGAUCUGUAGCUGUGCUGAGAGGACGAUCAGCCACACUGGGACUGAGACACGGCCCAGACUCCUACGGGAGGCAGCAGUGGGGAAUUUUGGACAAUGGGCGCAAGGCUGAUCCAACAAUGCCGCGUGCAGGAUGAAGGCCUUCGGGUUGUAAACUGCUUUUGUACGGAACGAAAAGCCCUGGGUUAAUGCCCUGGGGUCAUGACGGUACCGUAAGAAUAAGCACCGGCUAACUACGUGCCAGCCGCCGCAGUAA
RNAcentral lists this ribosomal RNA (498 nucleotides) under uncultured bacterium. RNAcentral describes it as "partial 16S ribosomal RNA". It matches the Rfam family "Bacterial small subunit ribosomal RNA", at positions 30 to 523 of the family's 1533-position model. The record is from RNAcentral.